This 6305-nucleotide long non-coding RNA is filed under the name Xyrichtys novacula (pearly razorfish). The record is from RNAcentral. Lineage: Eukaryota; Metazoa; Chordata; Actinopteri; Labriformes; Labridae.
UGGGAGAGAGCAGAGCCAGACGGGGCCCCCGGCCGUCUGGGUGCAGUUAACCCCAUAAAUGCCAACUGAAAUUAGAUGACAUGAAUGUUAAUGGCCAAUUGGAUUUUUUUACCCUCUUUUAACAGAUUAAUUUUAAUGAAUCAUAAUUGUAAUGCCCAAUUAGAAUUUUUUAUGCUCUUUUUAACUUAUUUAAUUUAAUGAAUUGUAAUUGUAAUGCCCAAUUUUAACGUUUGCCCAUUAGAAUUGUAAUGAAAUUGAUUUUUUAAAGACAGAUGUAAUUAUGUUAGCCCCUAAUUCCCUUUUUAAAUUUUAGAUGAGAUAUAUUUUUGUAAUAUUUAUGGUUUUAAUGUCUAAUAAUCAAUAAUGGAUUAAAAAGAAUUAAUUAAAAUAAAUUAUUAGUUUUUAAAGGUUAGGGUUAGGGGUCAGGGCUAGGGCUAGAGAGGUUAGGGUUAGGGCUAGGGUUAGGGUUAGAUUUGAUCCCCGAGGGUUAGGGUUAGGGUCAGGGCCAGGGUUAGGGUUAGAUUUGAUCCCCGAGGGUUAGGGUUAGGGUUAGGGAUAGGGUUAGGGUUAGAUUUGAUCCCCGAGGGUUAGGGUUAGGGUUAGGGAUAGGGCCAGGGUUAGAUUUGAUCCCCGAGGGUUAGGGUUAGGGUUAGGAUUCUGGUUAGGCGUUAGUUUUAGGGCUAGGGGUUAGUGGUUAGGGGUCAGGGGUUAGUGAUUAGGGGUUGGUGGUUAGUAAUUAGGGGUCACUUUUUUUUCCUAAUGUGUCUUUUUGGUUUGUAUGUUAUAGGUUUUGGGGGAGAGGGAGAGUUUCCCUCCAGAAAAUCCAGAAACUCCAUGUCCAGCUUAGACAGGAAGUUCUGUUGUGGAGACAGAACAGGAGUCGUCUCCAGCUCCGUGGCUUGGUUUUCCCCUAUAUGUGUGAGUGCUGUUUUGUAUUGUUUGUAGGUGUUUGUUUCUCCUCUUGUUUGUUAUUGUUUGUUCUCACCCACUGCACCAGACUGGGGCUUUGCUCCUUCAGCAGCAGACUGAGACUCCCACCCUGCAGGACGGAGCGCUACCGCAGAUCAUUCCUCCCCUCUGCAAUAAGACUUUACAAUGAACAGUAACAAAACUGGAUUUACACCACCACUUUUUUUAUGGCAUUUAAAUUGUGUAUAUUGCAGAAAGCUUUAUUUUUUCUUCUCCCUUUUCUCUUUUCAAUUUUUUUUUCUUAAUUAUUACAUUUAUUAAGUUCUUAAUAUUAGGACCCUUAUUGUUAUAACUGCAUUUUGCACUUUCUGUCUUGUCUGUGAUGCUGCUGUGACAAAAAAAUUUCCCCCAUGGGGGAUCAAUAAAGGAAUAUUCUAUUCUAUUAUGUUGUGGUUCUGUGUGUGGUGUGUGGAGUGGAGUCUGAGGUGUUUUGGUUUGUUGUGGUGUUUUUUGUUGUUGUUGUUGUGGUGGUGUUUUGUUUUGUUGUUGUUGUUGUGCUUGUGCUGACUGUGUGUUUUGUUGUGGUGUCUGCUUUAUAUGUACAGGAUUGUCCACAAUUUGUGGACCAUCAUUUUGUAGUUUUUCCUGUGCAGCAGCAGGCUCAGAAGGGGCUGUCUCUGUGUCCUGUGCUGCAUCAGGCUUCACACAAGAGGCUAUCAGAGCCUCUGCGUGGUCAAUAACCUCCUGCUUUAUACGAGGCAGGUUCUUCCUAGCCCAUCUCGUGGCCACAGUGAAGGCGCUCUUCCACUCUUGAGGUGGCUCUUUUGAAAGAUCUGCCUGUAUUUUCUCCAGCUCAGCGGUGUAGUGGUCCUGGAGAAUGAGCAGUGUAGUGUGGCCCCAGUUCUUUGCAUUUGCCAUGAUCAUAUCCAGCGUGUCGGUUGUUGGAUUUGCUGGUUUGAUCAUGGUUGCCAAAUUAUCCACCAUACGUGCUAUCAUUUUUGGAUCCUGUUUUUCAGGUCCUGGGGUCACAUUUUGUAGGUGGUGUACCAUUUUAAUGACAGUGUGUAAUUUCCUGACCAUUUGUCCAAAUUGUGGGUCAUGUACUGGUGCUUGAUAAGUACUUGGAUCAGGCAGGGAUCUGCUCUGCUGUGUGUUUUUUUGGUGGAAAUAAGGGCGUUUUUGAGGAAACCCCCCCUGGUUACAGGUGGGGUUUCCCUGGUGUAGCACAGAUGCAUAGGACCCUGAUUGAGGUCCCCAAAAUCUGGGUUGAUAAUGAGGAGGAGGUCCAGGUCUGCGGGGACGUGAGGGAGCAGAGAACCGUGGGGGAGGCACAGGCCGGUUAGGUUUAUGGAUAUAGGGGGACUGUCUCCUAGAAUAGGAGACAGGAGGUGCACGGUCCAUCCCCCUGUUCCCCAUCCCCCACGACCCCGUUUGGUACUGCUGAUUAGUGCGAUACGGGCGUUGACCACGCCUUCUCCCGUAUCGCACUUCAGUCCAUUCUUGCUCAUUGUAAUUCAUGAUUGUUUUUAAUCUUUUUAAUUAUUAAUUACUUAUUUAUUAAUGUGGUGUAUUUAUUAAACUAUUUAUUUAUUUAUUUAUUGGUGUAACAGUAUAACCAAAUAAAUGAAUUGUUCUUAUUUUUUUAUGCUUUUUUUUGUUUUUUUCUGAAAUCAAAAUGAAAUAAAAUGAAAUAAAAGAAAGAAAACUGAAUAAUAUGUCUAUGAAGACGAAGAAAUAAAGAAAAGGUGUAAUAAAGAGUGCCCAGUCGCGACGUUUCGACCCGCUUGGGUCUUCUUCAGGCUAUGGGCACAGAAAGGGAUAUGUCUGGACUUGUCUGAGUGUGUGUAUGAGAUGUUUUCUCUUCCGGAGACAUAUGUGAAGUGGGAGAAGUGGGCUGUGUGUGCGUGUGUUAUUUAUAGGGGCGUGGGAGAGAGCAGAGCCAGACGGGGCCCCCGGCCGUCUGGGUGCAGUUAACCCCAUAAAUGCCAACUGAAAUUAGAUGACAUGAAUGUUAAUGGCCAAUUGGAUUUUUUUACCCUCUUUUAACAGAUUAAUUUUAAUGAAUCAUAAUUGUAAUGCCCAAUUAGAAUUUUUUAUGCUCUUUUUAACUUAUUUAAUUGAAUGAAUUGUAAUUGUAAUGCCCAAUUUUAACGUUUGCCCAUUAAAUUUGUAAUGAAAUUGAAGUUUUAAAGACAGAUGUAAUUAUGUUAGCCCCUAAUUCCCUUUUUAAAUUUUAGAUGAGAUAUAUAUUUGUAUUAUUUAUGGUUUUAAUGUCUAAUAAUCCAUAAUGGAUUAAAAAGAAUUAAUUAAAAUAAAUUAUUAGUUUUUAGAGGUUAGGGUUAGGGGUCAGGGCUAGGGUUAGAGAGGUUAGGGUUAGGGCUAGGGUUAGGGUUAGAUUUGAUCCCCGAGGGUUAGGGUUAGGGUUAGGGCCAGGGUUAGGGUUAGAUUUGAUCCCCGAGGGUUAGGGUUAGGGUUAGGGAUAGGGUUAGGGUUAGAUUUGAUCCCCGAGGGUUAGGGUUAGGGUUAGGGAUAGGGCCAGGGUUAGAUUUGAUCCCCGAGGGUUAGGGUUAGGGUUAGGAUUCUGGUUAGGCGUUAGUUUUAGGGCUAGGGGUUAGUGGUUAGGGGUCAGGGGUUAGUGAUUAGGGGUUGGUGGUUAGUGAUUAGGAGUCACUUUUUUUUCCUAAUGUGUCUUUUUGGUUUGAAUGUUACAGGUUUUGGGGGAGAGGGAGAGUUUCCUUCCAGAAAAUCCAGAAACUCCAUGUCCGGCUUGGACAGGAAGCUCUGUUGUGGAGACAGAACAGGAGUUGUCUCCAGCUCCGUGUCUUGGUUUUCCCCUAUGUGUGAGUACUGUUUUGUAUUGUUUGUAGGUGUUUGUUUCUCCUCUUGUUUGUUAUGUUGUGGUUCUGUGUGUGGUGUGUGGAGUGGAGUCUGAGGUGUUUUGGUUUGUUGUGGUGUUUUUUGUUGUUGUUGUUGUGGUGGUGUUUUGUUUUGUUGUUGUUGUUGUUGUGCUUGUGCUGACUGUGUGUUUUGUUGUGGUGUCUGCUUGUGCUUGUGUGACAGUUUUGUUGUUGUCUGCACAAUUGUCCACAAUUUGUGGACCAUCAUUUUGUAGUUUUUCCUGUGCAGCAGCAGGCUCAGAAGGGGCUGUCUCUGUGUCCUGUGCUGCAUCAGGCUUCACACAGGAGGCUAUCAGAGCCUCUGCGUGGUCAAUAACCUCCUGCUUUAUGCGAGGCAGGUUCUUCCUAGCCCAUCUCGUGGCCACAGUGAAGGCGCUCUUCCACUCUUGAGGUGGCUCUUUUGAAAGAUCUGCCUUUAUUUUCUCCAGCUCAGCGGUGUAGUGGUCCUGGAGAAUGAGCAGUGUAGUGUGGCCCCAGUUCUUUGCAUUUGCCAUGAUCAUAUCCAGCGUGUCGGUUGUUGGAUUUGCUGGUUUGAUCAUGGCUGCCAAAUUAUCCACCAUACGUGCUAUCAUUUUUGGAUCCUGUUUUUCAGGUCCUGGGGUCACAUUUUGUAGGUGGUGUACCAUUUUAAUGACAGUGUGUAAUUUUCUGACCCUUUGUCCAAAUUGUGGGUCAUGUACUGGUGCUUGAUGAGUACUUGGAUCAGGCAGGGAUCUGCUCUGCUGUGUGUUUUUUUGGUGGUAAUAAGGGCGUCUUUGAGGAAAUCCCCCUGGUUACGGGUGGGGUUUCCCUGGUGUAGCACAGAUGCAUAGGACCCUGAUUGAGGUCCCCAAAAUUUGGGUUGAUAAUCAGGAGGAGGUCCAGGUCUGCGGGGACGUGAGGGAGCAGAGAACCGUGGGGGAGGCACAGGCCGGUUAGGUUUAUGGAUAUAGGGGGACUGUCUCCUAGAAUAGGAGACAGUAGGUGCACGGUCCAUCCCCCUGUUCCCCGUCCCCCACGACCCCGUUUGAUACUGCUGAUUAGUGCGAUACGGGCGUUGACCACGCCUUCUCCCGUAUCGCACUUCAGUCCAUUCUUGCUCAUUGUAAGUCAUGAUUGUUUUUAAUCUUUUUAAUUAUUUAUUACUUAUUUAUUAAUGUGGUGUAUUUAUUAAACUAUUUAUUUAUUUAUUGGUCUUCUAUUAUUUUUUUAUUAAUCAAGGUAUUUAAAACAAAACGUAUAAAUGAAUUGUUCUUAUUUUUUUAUGCUUUUUUUGUUUUUUUGUGAAAUAAAAAUGAAAUAAAAUGAAAUAAAAAGAAAGAAAACUAAAUAAUAUGUGUAUGAAAAUGAAGAAUCGAAGAAAAGGUGAAAAAGAGUGCCCAGUCGCGACGUUUCGACCCGCUUGGGUCUUCUUCAGGCUAUGGGCACAGAAAGGGAUAUGUCUGGACUUGUCUGAGUGUGUGUAUGAGAUGUUUUCUCUUCCGGAGACAUAUGUGAAGUGGGAGAAGUGGGCUGUGUGUGCGUGUGUUAUUUAUAGGGGCGUGGGAGAGAGCAGAGCCAGACGGGGCCCCCGGCCGUCUGGAUACGUCUGGGUGCAGUUAACCCCAUAAAUGCCAACUGAAAUUAGAACACAUUGAAUGUUAAUUGGCCAAUUGUAAUGAUUUUUUUAUCCUCUUUUAACAGAUUAAUUUAAUGAAUCAUAAUUGUAAUGCCCAAUUAGAAUUUUUUAUCCUCUUUUAACUUAUUUAAUUUAAUGAAUUUAUUUUAAUGCCCAAUUAGAAAUGAAUUGAAUGAAUUGUAAUUGUAAUGCCCAAUUUUAACGUUUGCCCAUUAAAUUGUAAUGAAAUUGAUUUUUAAAGACAGAUGUAAUUAUGUUAGCCCCUAAUUCCCUUUUUAAAUUUUAGAUGAGAUAUAUAUUUGUAAUAUUUAUGGUUUUAAUGUCUAAUAAUCAAUAAUGGAUUAAAAAGAAUUAAUUAAAAUAAAUUAUUAGUUUUUAAAGGUUAGGGUUAGGGGUCAGGGCUAGGGCUAGAGAGGUUAGGGUUAGGGCUAGGGUUAGGGUUAGAUUUGAUCCCCGAGGGUUAGGGUUAGGGUCAGGGCCAGGGUUAGGGUUAGAUUUGAUCCCCGAGGGUUAGGGUUAGGGUUAGGGAUAGGGUUAGGGUUAGAUUUGAUCCCCGAGGGUUAGGGUUAGGGUUAGGGAUAGGGCCAGGGUUAGAUUUGAUCCCCGAGGGUUAGGGUUAGGGUUAGGAUUCUGGUUAGGCGUUAGUUUUAGGGCUAGGGGUUAGUGGUUAGGGGUCAGGGGUUAGUGAUUAGGGGUUGGUGGUUAGUAAUUAGGGGUUGGUGGUUAGUGAUUAGGGGUCACUUUUUUUUCCUAAUGUGUCUUUUUGGUUUGUAUGUUAUAGGUUUUGGGGCAGAGGGAGAGUUUCCCUCCAGAAAAUCCAGAAACUCCAUGUCCAGCUCAGACAGGAAGUUCUGUUGUGGAGACAGAACAGGAGUCGUCUCCAGCUCCGUGGCUUGGUUUUC